CAGUCGAGGGGCAGCAGUACUUUUCGGAGUAGCUGGCGACCGGCGCACGGGUGCGUAACGCGUAUGCAAUCUACCUACAGCAGAGGGAUAGCCCGUGGAAACAUGGAUUAAUACCUCAUAAUACAGGGGGCCCACCUGGGCAUAUUGUUAAAGAUUUAUCGGCUGUAGAUGGGCAUGCGUCCCAUUAGCUAGUUGGUACGGUAACGGCGUACCAAGGCGAUGAUGGGUAGGGGUUCUGAGAGGAUGAUCCCCCACACUGGUACUGAGAUACGGACCAGACUCCUACGGGAGGCAGCAGUAGGGAAUAUUGGUCAAUGGACGAGAGUCUGAACCAGCCAUGCCGCGUGCAGGAAGACGGCCUUCUGGGUUGUAAACUGCUUUUCUCAGGGAAGAAAAUGGUCUUGCGAGACAAAUUGCCGGUACCUGAGGAAUAAGCACCGGCUAACUCCGUGCCAGCAGCCGCGGUAAUACGGAGGGUGCGAGCGUUGUCCGGAUUUAUUGGGUUUAAAGGGUGCGUAGGCGGCCUAUUAAGUCAGUGGUGAAAGGUAUCAGCUUAACUGAUGAUGUGCCAUUGAAACUGACAGGCUUGAGUACAGACGAGGUAGG
Molecule: ribosomal RNA, 606 nt
Filed under: uncultured bacterium
Lineage: Bacteria
Description: bacterial SSU rRNA
Rfam family: Bacterial small subunit ribosomal RNA
Source: RNAcentral